This 72-nucleotide ribosomal RNA is filed under the name uncultured Mobiluncus sp. Its description in RNAcentral is "partial 16S ribosomal RNA". The record is from RNAcentral. Lineage: Bacteria; Bacillati; Actinomycetota; Actinomycetes; Actinomycetales; Actinomycetaceae.
AAGGCUUGACAUACACUGCGACAUGCCAGAGAUGGUGUGGCCUUCGGGGUGGUGUACAGGUGGUGCAUGGUU